Molecule: unclassified non-coding RNA, 209 nt
Filed under: soil metagenome
Description: partial contains 5.8S ribosomal RNA, internal transcribed spacer 2, and large subunit ribosomal RNA
Source: RNAcentral
AACAUCGCGCACCUGCGGGAACCUGCGGAAGGAUCAUUAACAAGCUGUGGGAGAUCAAUUUGAUCUCACACCUGGCCAACCUUGUUAACCUUAAAUAUAUUGCUUUGGUGAGCCCUGCUCACCAAAGUCAAACCCUAAACUCUUGAUUUUUUCUGCUGUCUGAGCAUGCAAGUGCAAAAUUUAGUUAAAAAACUUUUAACAAUGGAUCU